This 502-nucleotide non-coding RNA is filed under the name Theobroma cacao (cacao). Its description in RNAcentral is "rRNA LSU_rRNA_eukarya". It matches the Rfam family "Eukaryotic large subunit ribosomal RNA", at positions 988 to 1444 of the family's 3401-position model. The record is from Rfam by way of RNAcentral. Lineage: Eukaryota; Viridiplantae; Streptophyta; Magnoliopsida; Malvales; Malvaceae.
UUUUAUCCAACUUGUCUUUGAAAAUAUAUCUUGGGAACAAGCCUUUGGUGAAGUGAUUUUAUAUUGUGAAAUUGUGAUAUACAAUGGAUUAUGUGUUAUCAAAAUAUGAUAACAUGUAUUAUAUGCAUUGAGUGCUUAUUUGUAUGUUGAUGUGGACCCGGUUAUGUGCGAGUAGGAGUGCACAUAAGCCGUUGUUGACUCGACUAUGUGCGAGUGGGAGUGUGCAUAAGCCGUUGCAUAUAAGAUGAUGAUGCGCGCUAACCUAGAACCCACAAAGGGUGUUGGUCGAUUAAGACAGCAGGACGGUGGUCAUGGAAGUCGAAAUCCGCUAAGGAGUGUGUAACAACUCACUUGCUGAAUCAACUAGCCCCGAAAAUGGAUGGCGUUGAAGGGCUAGACCUAUACCCGGCCGUCGGGGCAAGGGCCAGGCCCCGAUGAGUAGGAGGGCGCUGCGGUCGUAGCGAAACUCGAGGCGCGAGCCUGGGCGGAGCGACUGUCGGUG